RNAcentral lists this ribosomal RNA (232 nucleotides) under uncultured bacterium. RNAcentral describes it as "partial 16S ribosomal RNA". It matches the Rfam family "Bacterial small subunit ribosomal RNA", at positions 15 to 236 of the family's 1533-position model. The record is from RNAcentral.
GAUCAUGGCUCAGGAUGAACGCUAGCUACAGGCUUAACACAUGCAAGUCGAGGGGGAACGACAUCGAAAGCUUGCUUUUGAUGGGCGUCGACCGGCGCACGGGUGAGUAACGCGUAUCCAACCUGCCCAUCACUUGGGAAUAACCUUGCGAAAGUAAGACUAAUGCCCAAUGACAUCCCACGAAGGCGUCCGAAUGGGAUUAAAGAUUUAUCGGUGAUGGAUGGGGAUGCGU